GACGAACGCUGGCGGCGUGCUUAACACAUGCAAGUCGAACGGAAAGGCCCUGCUUUUGUGGGGUGCUCGAGUGGCGAACGGGUGCGUAACACGUGAGUAACCUGCCCUUGACUUUGGGAUAACUUCAGGAAACUGGGGCUAAUACCGGAUAGGAGCUCCUGCUGCAUGGUGGGGGUUGGAAAGUUUCGGCGGUUGGGGAUGGACUCGCGGCUUAUCGGCUUGUUGGUGGGGUAGUGGCUUACCAAGGCUUUGACGGGUAGCCGGCCUGGGAGGGUGACCGGCCACAUUGGGACUGAGAUACGGCCCAGACUCCUACGGGAGGCAGCAGUGGGGAAUAUUGCACAGUGGGCGGAAGCCUGAUGCAGCAACGCCGCGUGCGGGAUGACGGCCUUCGGGUUGUAAACCGCUUUCGCCUGUGACGAAGCGUGAGUGACGGUAAUGGGUAAAGAAGCACCGGCUAACUACGUG
RNAcentral lists this ribosomal RNA (468 nucleotides) under uncultured bacterium. Its description in RNAcentral is "partial 16S ribosomal RNA". It matches the Rfam family "Bacterial small subunit ribosomal RNA", at positions 28 to 507 of the family's 1533-position model. The record is from RNAcentral.